Molecule: ribosomal RNA, 107 nt
Filed under: Serratia marcescens
Lineage: Bacteria; Pseudomonadati; Pseudomonadota; Gammaproteobacteria; Enterobacterales; Yersiniaceae
Also listed under: 18 other names
Source: RNAcentral
AAUAGCGCGGUGGUCCCACCUGACCCCAUGCCGAACUCAGAAGUGAAACGCCGUAGCGCCGAUGGUAGUGUGGGGUCUCCCCAUGCGAGAGUAGGACACUGCCAGGC